UUAACAUUUUAUUUUUACGACCAUGGUCCCAAACCUUUUAACUUCCAUUGCAGUCAAAAUCUAUUUGACACAUUUCAUCCACUUAUCACUUAAUCAACCUUGAAAUCAAAUAUUUGACUCCUACAAAUUAAAAGGUAAAAUGGUCGAAUUACAUUUUACUCACUAAAACCUUUAAAAUAAUUAAAUCAAAAAAAGAAGAAGAAAGAACUGUUCAUCUUUUCCAAAAGAACUGUUCAUCUUUUCCACACCCUUCCCCAAAUCCCAAAUCCAAAAAAUGAAAAUCCAACCACCUCGACCACCGCCCUCGAACCGCCUACCGUCGCUACCGCCAUCACCCCGCUCUGAAUACGAGCUUUGCUCUGGAGGAACUUUUAGAAGAGGUUAAUGGGUUGAGUCAUAAUCCUUCGGGCUUUUGUGCUUGCCAUGUCUACUGAAUUUGAAAGCUCCAGCGCCAAAAAAAUAUUUCCUUUCUUCUUCUAAUGCAACACAGAAAAACAGCGAAAUCCUGAAAAUUUGCAGAACAAUUUUUUUGGAUUUUCAGUUUUUGGAUUUGGGGAAGAGUUGGGUUGGGGAUGGGAGAAGAUGGACAAUUCUUC
This 596-nucleotide long non-coding RNA is filed under the name Olea europaea subsp. europaea. The record is from RNAcentral. Lineage: Eukaryota; Viridiplantae; Streptophyta; Magnoliopsida; Lamiales; Oleaceae.